Molecule: ribosomal RNA, 706 nt
Filed under: archaeon enrichment culture clone A21D10
Lineage: Archaea
Description: bacterial SSU rRNA
Rfam family: Archaeal small subunit ribosomal RNA
Source: RNAcentral
GGUUACUGCUAUCGAGGUUCGACUAAGCCAUGCGAGUCGAAUGUAGCAAUACAUGGCGAACUGCUCAGUAACACGUGGACAACCUGCCCUUAGGUUGGGUAUAAACCCGGGAAACUGGGUAUAAUACCCGAUAGGUCUCGAUUGCUGGAAUGCAUCGAGAUUUAAAGCUCCGGCGCCUAAGGAUGGGUCUGCGGCCUAUCAGGUAGUAGUGGGUGUAGCGUACCUACUAGCCUACGACGGGUACGGGUUGUGAGAGCAAGAGCCCGGAGAUGGAUUCUGAGACACGAAUCCAGGCCCUACGGGGUGCAGCAGGCGCGAAAACUUUACAAUGCUGGCAACAGCGAUAAGGGAACCUCGAGUGCCAGGUUACAAAUCUGGCUGUCGAGAUGCCUAAAAAGCAUUUCAUAGCAAGGGCCGGGCAAGACCGGUGCCAGCCGCCGCGGUAACACCGGCGGCUCGAGUGGUAACCGUUAUUAUUGGGUCUAAAGGGUCUGUAGCCGGCCGGAUAAGUCUCUUGAGAAAUCUGGCAGCUUAACUGUCAGGCUUUCAGGAGAUACUGUCUGGCUCGAGGCCGGGAGAGGUGAGAGGUACUUCAGGGGUAGGGGUGAAAUCUUGUAAUCCUUGAAGGACCACCAGUGGCGAAAGCGUCUCACCAGAACGGACCUGACGGCAAGGGACGAAAGCUAGGGGCACGAACCGGAUUAGA